UACGGGGGGAGCAAGCGUUGUUCGGAUUUACUGGGCGUAAAGGGCGCGUAGGCGGUCAGCACAAGUCAGUUGUGAAAUCUCCGGGCUUAACUCGGAAAGGUCAACUGAUACUGUGCGACUAGAGUGCAGAAGGGGCAACUGGAAUUCUCGGUGUAGCGGUGAAAUGCGUAGGUAUCGAGAGGAACACCUGCGGCGAAGGCGGGUUGCUGGGCUGACACUGACGCUGAGGCGCGAAAGCCAGGGGAGCGAACGGG
Molecule: ribosomal RNA, 254 nt
Filed under: uncultured bacterium
Lineage: Bacteria
Description: partial 16S ribosomal RNA
Rfam family: Bacterial small subunit ribosomal RNA
Source: RNAcentral